RNAcentral lists this small RNA (590 nucleotides) under Erysiphe buhrii. RNAcentral's name for it is "eukaryotic LSU rRNA". The stretch from base 226 to 379 matches the Rfam family "5.8S ribosomal RNA". The record is from RNAcentral. Lineage: Eukaryota; Fungi; Ascomycota; Leotiomycetes; Helotiales; Erysiphaceae.
AUUACAGAGUGCGAGGCUCAGUCGUGGCGUCUGCUGCGUGCUGGGCCGACCCUCCCACCCGUGUCGAUUUGUAUCUUGUUGCUUUGGCGGGCCGGGCUGCGUCGUCGCUGUCCGCAGGGACACGCGUCGGCCGCCCACCGGUUUCGACUGGAGCGCGCCCGCCAAAGACCCCAACCAAAACUCAUGUUGUCUGUGUCGUCUUAGCAUUAUAAUGAAAAUUGAUAAAACUUUCAACAACGGAUCUCUUGGCUCUGGCAUCGAUGAAGAACGCAGCGAAAUGCGAUAAGUAAUGUGAAUUGCAGAAUUUAGUGAAUCAUCGAAUCUUUGAACGCACAUUGCGCCCCUUGGUAUUCCGAGGGGCAUGCCUGUUCGAGCGUCAUAACACCCCCUCCAGCUGCCGUUGUGUGGCUGCGGUGUUGGGGCUCGUCGCGAUGCGGCGGCCCUUAAAGACAGUGGCGGUCCCGGCGUGGGCUCUACGCGUAGUAACUUGCUUCUCGCGACAGAGUGACGCCCGGUGGCUUGCCAGAACAACCCCUAUUGGGUCCAGUCACAUGGAUCACAGGUUGACCUCGAAUCAGGUAGGAAUACCC